UACAGAGGGUGCAAACGUUGCUCGGAAUUAUUGGGCGUAAAGCGCAUGUAGGCGGCAUAGUAAGUUCACUGUGAAAGCCCUUGGCUCAACCAAGGAAGUGCAGUGAGAACUGCUAAGCUCGAGUUCUGAAGAGGGUCGCGGAAUGGCCAGUGUAGAGGUGAAAUUCGUAGAUAUUGGCUAGAACACCAGUGGCGAAGGCGGCGACCUGGGAAGAUACUGACGCUGAGAUGCGAAAGCGUGGGGAGCAAACAGG
RNAcentral lists this ribosomal RNA (253 nucleotides) under uncultured bacterium. Its description in RNAcentral is "partial 16S ribosomal RNA". It matches the Rfam family "Bacterial small subunit ribosomal RNA", at positions 524 to 776 of the family's 1533-position model. The record is from RNAcentral.